This 253-nucleotide ribosomal RNA is filed under the name uncultured bacterium. RNAcentral's name for it is "partial 16S ribosomal RNA". It matches the Rfam family "Bacterial small subunit ribosomal RNA", at positions 524 to 776 of the family's 1533-position model. The record is from RNAcentral.
UACGGAGGGGGCUAGCGUUGUUCGGAAUUACUGGGCGUAAAGCGCGUGUAGGCGGCUUUGCAAGUCGGGUGUGAAAUCCCACGGCUCAACCGUGGAAGUGCAUUCGAAACUGCGAGGCUAGAGUCCUGGAGAGGAAGGUGGAAUGCUUGGUGUAGAGGUGAAAUUCGUAGAUAUCAAGCGGAACACCGGUGGCGAAGGCGGCCUUCUGGACAGUGACUGACGCUGAGACGCGAAAGCGUGGGGAGCAAACAGG